Molecule: ribosomal RNA, 253 nt
Filed under: uncultured bacterium
Lineage: Bacteria
Description: partial 16S ribosomal RNA
Rfam family: Bacterial small subunit ribosomal RNA
Source: RNAcentral
UACGUAGGGUGCGAGCGUUGUCCGGAAUUAUUGGGCGUAAAGAGCUUGUAGGCGGUUUGUCGCGUCUGCUGUGAAAAUCCGGGGCUCAACCCCGGACUUGCAGUGGGUACGGGCAGACUAGAGUGGGGUAGGGGAGACUGGAAUUCCUGGUGUAGCGGUGGAAUGCGCAGAUAUCAGGAGGAACACCGAUGGCGAAGGCAGGUCUCUGGGCCACGACUGACGCUGAGAAGCGAAAGCAUGGGGAGCGAACAGG